Long non-coding RNA from Cicer arietinum (chickpea), 1238 nucleotides. RefSeq lists it as uncharacterized. Lineage: Eukaryota; Viridiplantae; Streptophyta; Magnoliopsida; Fabales; Fabaceae. The record is from RefSeq and is a predicted model, not a curated record.
UAUCAUUUUUACACUUUAAUGUUUUUCUUUUUUAUGAAAAAGGAAAUUUAAUUACAAAAUCAAACAAAGUAAACAAAUAUCCCUUGCAUCAUCCGAAAUAAUAAUGCCUAAAAUACGAAAUGAAAAAUUAACUACAACUAAGUCAAAAAAUGAGAAGAGUGACGCUUAUUAUCUAAACGAUCAACACACAAUUGACCUCUCAAAAGACACAAAUAACUGAAAUUUUCAAAUUCAAACUUUGAAGAAGAUAAAUAAUCUCUUGGAGGAGAUGUUUGAUAUGCACAUUUGAAGACUAUCCAAAAUGGAUCAUAUUGACCACCACAACUAAGUUUAAUUCAAAAGUAACUGAAGAAAGAUUUGGUUGUUGUGCAAACUUGAUACUCAUAAUUCAUUCUUAAAGCUCGAAACUCAGCCUAAAUCCUAGACUAAGAAUCAACUCGAACAAGACCACCACAAGUAGAACUACCAAAAAAAGCUCUAAAAGAACCAUCCACAGUAACUCUCUGUUGGAGAAUCAUGAGAUAGACUUUUAAAAUCAUUUUAAAGUUAUUCUCAUAAGUGGAAAAUUUUCAUAGCCAAGAACCAUAUAAGCUUAAUUUUUUUAUAGAUGAAUUCAUGUGUUUACCUAUUGAAGCGUUGAGAAUGAUAUAAAUCCCUUUUUGAUUGUGCUUAAACACAUGAUAUGUUUCUUGUUUCUCAAAUCAUCUUCUUUGAUUUUAUUAUGGACCUAAUCGAUUUAUCUGUGGAGUCCUAGAAGUGGUUCGAAUAUCAAGAUCUAGAUUUUCGACAAGAAUUACUCACCAAAAGUUUGCCAUAAGAUUUUCUUCUCCUUGAUAAUGCUGCAUCUCAGGAUCCACGUAGUGUUUCAGUUUCAAUUCUUCAUCAAUUCAAUAUUUUGCCUGAGAUGUAUCAAGUUGGCUACACAGAAUCAUUUUUCCGAACGGGGCAGGUAAUGUUUAUCAUUUGAAUUUUAUAUUGUGAAAAUUAACAACAGCAGCAGCAACAACAAUAAUAAUAGUAAUAAAUAUUAUAAUGCAAAAUAUUAUAAGCAAUGAUUGACAUCUAGUAAUACAUCAUUGUUUCCUAAAUCAUAAGAAAAUUAGUUGUAUGAUUUAACCCUUAUUGCGACCACUAUUUAAGGUGUAGUAAUUGUUCUUUCGUCCAAAUGUAUAAAUGAGCGUUGCCAUACUUGCAAAGUACAAUUAUUUAUUUAUCGAUUUUGAUGUUGACUUUGCAAA